This 219-nucleotide small RNA is filed under the name Pseudomonas brassicacearum. RNAcentral describes it as "PhrS". It matches the Rfam family "PhrS". The record is from RNAcentral. RNAcentral also lists the same sequence under 1 other name. Lineage: Bacteria; Pseudomonadati; Pseudomonadota; Gammaproteobacteria; Pseudomonadales; Pseudomonadaceae.
UUGAACCCAUCGCAACAGGGGCAAGACCAGGAGGCCAGUCAUGUUUUUCGAUAAUGUGGUGUUUGCCGGGGUGUUGACGGUCGGCCUCAUGGUCGUGUUUUUCGCAGGCUUUGGAUUAUUCAUCUGGAAAGACGCGCACAAGCGGAAAAAACCGUAGGUCUUUCCGGCUACAACGAGCACGCAAGGCAUUUUGGGCGACUUCGGUCGCCCUUUUUUUUG